RNAcentral lists this transfer RNA (82 nucleotides) under Candidatus Yanofskybacteria bacterium RIFCSPHIGHO2_02_FULL_43_15c. RNAcentral's name for it is "tRNA-Ser". It matches the Rfam family "tRNA". Rfam says of the family: Transfer RNA (tRNA) molecules are approximately 80 nucleotides in length. Their secondary structure includes four short double-helical elements and three loops (D, anti-codon, and T loops). The record is from RNAcentral. Lineage: Bacteria; Candidatus Yanofskyibacteriota.
GGAGGAUUAGUCUAAUGGUAAGGCACUGCUUUCGAAAAGCAGCGGGCGCAAGCCCUUGCAGGUUCGAGUCCUGCAUCCUCCG